AUGUGUCGCCAGACUACGGCUCCCAGAAGCUGGGCCAGAUGGAUACGGCCUCCCCAGGGUUUUGCAAAAAUAAGAGUUGAUGGUGCGGUAAACAAAGCAAACAAUGAGGGAUCCUAUAGCGCUGUUUGCAGGGACGAGGAAGGUAUGUACUUGGGAUCUUCAGUAAUACGGUGUGUUGGAGUCACCGAUCCAACUACAUUAGAGACCCUGGCAUGUCGUGAAGCUUUGGCCCUUGCUUUGGAUUUGUCGCUAACCCAUGUGGAGAUUGCCUCAGAUUGCAAAAACGCUGUUCAAGACAUUAACCUUGGUACGGGAGGAAUGAACGCGAGCAUUGUGAAGGAGAUUAGACAGUCAAUUACUCUUUUUCAUAGUUGUGCCUUCAUCUUUGAAGGUAGAGUAUCAAAUCAAGAGGCUCAUAGCCUUGCUAAACACGCUUUUGGUCUGGAUCCGGGGCGCCAUGUGUGGCUUUUAAACCCCCCAGACGUCAACGCUAUCUCUAUGAACAUCAUUGAUUAA
Molecule: ribosomal RNA, 516 nt
Filed under: Triticum aestivum (bread wheat)
Lineage: Eukaryota; Viridiplantae; Streptophyta; Magnoliopsida; Poales; Poaceae
Description: partial small subunit ribosomal RNA
Source: RNAcentral